CAUGCUAGUGUGAUAUGGAAAACCAUAUACGGUGGACCCACAUGUCCGUGAGACAUGGAAAAAAAAAAGUUCACAUGUGAGUUCGCACGCCUCUCCACCCUACGCUCGUGUCGUUCACACAGAUGCGGCGAUGGUCGUCCCGGUGAGCUGACUCACACGAGGAGGCGAGGCCCGAUGGUGACUAGGGCUCGGCGUGGAAGGUAAGGGAGGAAGGCAGGAGAAGGUGGGGGAGGACACGACGAGCUCCUUCCCAUGCAUGUCCAGACGACGAGUUCCUCCUCACGCACGCACGCACGCUACCAGCGAACUCCUUCCCGCAUAUGUGCCGCAACCGGUGACCCCUCCUUCGGCGCGCACCGUGGCUAGCGAUUCCUCUCCGCGUGCGCGCCGCGGCUGAUUGCUAGCACGCGUGACCGACCGCGACCCCUCUCCUUGCGCGCCGUGGCGGCAAGAUCCUUCCCGCCUGCUGCUGUGAGGCGAGAGAGGAGGAAGAGGAAAGAGAGAGGGAAUGCGCCGAUGGUGUUCGGCGGAAUGCCCCCACCGAGAGUGUACUGCAGGUAAUUACUGAUACUACAUCGACCAAUACACAUUUUGGAUAGCUUCCUUACGCCAUUUCCACUUCAAAAAUGAUAAGCUCCAAAAAAUGUUCUGCUUUAUUCCUCAGCGGGGCUUACACGAUUGACAAGUGGCAACCGAGUUACUUUGAAGCUUUCAUCAUGUGCAUUGACAUUGUGUAACCUUUUCUAUGUCUACUAUCCUGGCUUGAAACAGGCAUACCAAGGAACAUGGCAGCAUAGGAGCUCUGCUGGUGCAUGUAGCCGUACAUUGUUGCCGCUGCCGUGGUGUCUGCCUCCGGCUCUGGCCCGCAGUCGAGGUUGACGCCGAACAGCCUGAGCCGCCUCGAUGGCGCCGAGCCUGCACUGAAGCUUGGGCUGUCCGUGUCGCGCGGAGACUCGUCUACAGUUUGGUCAUCAGAAAUGGUAUGAGCAAGCAAAGCUCGAGGAAAAUGUGAUUGUAAUCUCACGUGGCCUUGUCAUUGCCUGCUCCUACUUUCUGCUAUGAGGUUUCAAGUUCCCAAACGCCAGGAUCAAGAAUGGACCAGUACAGAGUUCCCUUUCAACGAUUUCCAACAAGUUCUUGAAUCAGAUCUCUCUUUUGUGCGUGUGGCGUGUGAUGAGAAUGCGUAUUGCGGAUGAUCUAAAUUGGAGCUUUUUUUUCUUGUGGCGCACUGGCGAAGACUGACGUGAUGGAGAUCGAAGGUGACGAAGGAGAUGAUGGGGGAGAGAAACAGGUAGGAGUAUACUCCUAUGUGUGUGUCAUCAGACUCGGCCUUUUACCCUCGCAGGUCAUGCAUUGCGUUGUACUACCCUCUUUCUGUCAGCAUAAAGAGGGACUUUAGUGAAGGCAGACAAAGUGGAAGAAAGAGAGAGAAAGCAUGAACAAUGUGAGGUGUCACAGUGAACAGUAUCCUGAUGAUGCAUGACACUGUACCCGAUUGGCUCAAGAACAGAAGCACCACAAGAUGACCCAAUGGGUAGGCCUUGUACCAACUGCAGAUGACAUCCGUAUUGCUGACUGUACUGUAGCAGCAGGAGGAGAUGGGUGCCAGCCUUGGAGAAUCCUGCAGGUGAAAAUUCUCAGUGACAGACAGGAUCAGCAAAACAAGCAGGGACAUGCGUGCAGCGAAGUGAGAGACACUGUGUGGUGAGAGGAGGCUGAUGAGCAGGUGAAAGUGAAACGUGAGGCAGGUGCCAUUGCCAAUGGCAGUGCACGCCACACACAAGCAUCAGCAUCAGCAAAUUCAGCAGCAACAACCAACCAGCAACGCACGCAGCAAACAUCCACAGCAGCUGGCUCCUCCUUCCCCCACUCCAACAGUUUGGCAGCAGCAGCAGCGGCAGCUCGUUUCCUCGUCGCGUGCAUGCACAAUUGCAUAGAGUAUGCAGCUGCAGCCGCAGAGGUGAGUACUCCUGCGUCCCAUAGAAAAACUGGAUCAUAUGACAUCCUAAUACUACGAAUCUAAACAUACAUAGGAUGUGGUUUUUCAUGGGAUAAAUGGAGUAUGCAGCUGCAGCAGAGGUGCCGGUCGAUCCGGUCCCCCAUUGCUGGGCUUACGCAAGAAGACAGUGAGAUCGACCGAUCGAUCCAUCGGCGGCCUGCCGGCCGGCGACGUGCUGUGCAGAGCAGCUGGGUCCUCGCCGUCGCCGUCGCUGGCUAGUUGGCUGUGUAUAGCUAGUACCUCCUAGCUAUCUAGGUGCAGGCCAUCGCAUGCAUGAUCGGUCGAUCGAUGCAGAUGCAUGCAGUUAAUCAUCCAUGGUCCAUGGACCAGCAGCAGCAGCAGGGUGGCCACUGGCUAGUACGGCCAGAGGAUCGAUUUAUAUAUCAUCAUACCAUUGAUGGAGCUAGCCGUCCAGCUAUAGGCUGUGUUUAGUUCAGCGCAAAGUUUGAAUUUUGGUUGAAAUUGGAGAUGAUGUGACUAAAAAGUUGUGUGUGUAUGACAGAUUGAUGUGAUGGAAAAGGACUGAAGUUUGGAUCCAAACUUUGAAUCUAAACACAGCCAUAGAUGAAUACAAUCGAGGUUCACCUCUCCGAUUGAGUAGCGCCGGAUCU
Oryza sativa Japonica Group (Japanese rice) is the source of this 2610-nucleotide non-coding RNA. NCBI's taxonomy places the organism in Eukaryota, Viridiplantae, Streptophyta, Magnoliopsida, Poales, Poaceae. The record is from RefSeq and is a predicted model, not a curated record.